AUUGAACGCUGGCGGCAGGCCUAACACAUGCAAGUCGAGCGGAUGAAGGGAGCUUGCUCCUGGAUUCAGCGGCGGACGGGUGAGUAAUGCCUAGGAAUCUGCCUGGUAGUGGGGGAUAACGUCCGGAAACGGGCGCUAAUACCGCAUACGUCCUGAGGGAGAAAGUGGGGGAUCUUCGGACCUCAUGCUAUCAGAUGAGCCUAGUUCGGAUUAGCUAGUUGGUGGGGUAAAGGCCUACCAAGGCGACGAUCCGUAACUGGUCUGAGAGGAUGAUCAGUCACACUGGAACUGAGACACGGUCCAGACUCCUACGGGAGGCAGCAGUGGGGAAUAUUGGACAAUGGGCGAAAGCCUGAUCCAGCCAUGCCGCGUGUGUGAAGAAGGUCUUCGGAUUGUAAAGCACUUUAAGUUGGGAGGAAGGGCAGUAAGUUAAUACCUUGCUGUUUUGACGUUACCAACAGAAUAAGCACCGGCUAACUUCGUG
This 484-nucleotide ribosomal RNA is filed under the name uncultured bacterium. RNAcentral's name for it is "partial 16S ribosomal RNA". It matches the Rfam family "Bacterial small subunit ribosomal RNA", at positions 30 to 507 of the family's 1533-position model. The record is from RNAcentral.